GUGCCAGCAGCCGCGGUAAUACGAAGGGUGCAAGCGUUACUCGGAAUUACUGGGCGUAAAGCGUGCGUAGGUGGUUGUUUAAGUCUGCUGUGAAAGCCCUGGGCUCAACCUGGGAAUUGCAGUGGAUACUGGGCGACUAGAGUGUGGUAGAGGAUAGUGGAAUUUCCGGUGUAGCAGUGAAAUGCGUAGAGAUCGGAAGGAACAUCUGUGGCGAAGGCGACUAUCUGGGCCAACACUGACACUGAGGCACGAAAGCGUGGGGAGCAAACAGGAUUAGAUACCCUGGUAGUCC
This 292-nucleotide ribosomal RNA is filed under the name uncultured microorganism. RNAcentral's name for it is "partial 16S ribosomal RNA". It matches the Rfam family "Bacterial small subunit ribosomal RNA", at positions 505 to 796 of the family's 1533-position model. The record is from RNAcentral.